GGAGGUAUAUCUCAGUGGUAGAGUGUAUGCCUAGCAUGCACAAGGUCCCAGGUUCAAUCCCCAGUACCUCCG
This 72-nucleotide transfer RNA is filed under the name Camelus bactrianus (Bactrian camel). It matches the Rfam family "tRNA". From Rfam's summary of the family: Transfer RNA (tRNA) molecules are approximately 80 nucleotides in length. The record is from Rfam by way of RNAcentral. Lineage: Eukaryota; Metazoa; Chordata; Mammalia; Artiodactyla; Camelidae. RNAcentral also lists the same sequence under 2 other names.